AUGGAGCCGCUGCAAGCCCUGAGCCCCGUCCUCUGCAUUGUCCUCCUCAUCCCCACCUGGGCAGCAGCUGGUCUUGGAGUUUCCCAGGAGCCCAUGUCCCUCAACACAACAGCCGGGGAUAACGUGACCCUGAGCUGCUCCUUCCAGAGCAGAAAUGGCAGUAGAGCCAAGGUGCUUUGGUUCAGGGGAUCUGGAGAAGACGUGGUGCUGGAUGCUAACUACCCCUUCUACCGGGGGCGGCUCCGUGUGUCCAGUCUGGAUGAGAUCAGAAAGGGGAACGCGAUGCUGACCCUGUCUAAACUGGACAAGAGAGACUCUGGCCUCUAUCAGUGCUGCAUCGAAAUCCAGAAUGAGACGACAGGGAUGGGAGGAGGCACAGAUCUAAGAGUGAUGAGGAGAAACCAGAGUGUGACUG
Molecule: non-coding RNA, 415 nt
Organism: Terrapene triunguis (Three-toed box turtle)
Lineage: Eukaryota; Metazoa; Chordata; Testudines; Emydidae
Source: the annotation of a RefSeq genome assembly